AGUGAACGCUGGCGGUAGGCCUAACACAUGCAAGUCGAACGGCAGCACAGUAAGAGCUUGCUCUUACGGGUGGCGAGUGGCGGACGGGUGAGGAAUACAUCGGACUCUACUUUUUCGUGGGGGAUAACGUAGGGAAACUUACGCUAAUACCGCAUACGACCUACGGGUGAAAGCAGGGGAUCUUCGGACCUUGCGCGAUUGAAUGAGCCGAUGUCGGAUUAGCUAGUUGGCGGGGUACAGGCCCACCAAGGCGACGAUCCGUAGCUGGUCUGAGAGGAUGAUCAGCCACACUGGAACUGAGACACGGUCCAGACGCCUACGGGAGGCAGCAGUGGGGAAUAGUGGACAAGGGGCGCAAGCCUGAUCCAGCCAUACCGCGUGGGUGAAGAAGGCCUUCGGGUUGUAAAGCCCUUUUGUUGGGAAAGAAAAGCAGCAGGUUAAUACCCCGCUGUUCUGACGGUACCCAAAGAAUAAGCACCGGCUAACUUCGUG
This 492-nucleotide ribosomal RNA is filed under the name uncultured bacterium. RNAcentral's name for it is "partial 16S ribosomal RNA". It matches the Rfam family "Bacterial small subunit ribosomal RNA", at positions 29 to 507 of the family's 1533-position model. The record is from RNAcentral.